RNAcentral lists this ribosomal RNA (294 nucleotides) under Lactiplantibacillus plantarum. RNAcentral's name for it is "Lactobacillus plantarum partial 16S ribosomal RNA". It matches the Rfam family "Bacterial small subunit ribosomal RNA", at positions 394 to 680 of the family's 1533-position model. The record is from RNAcentral. Lineage: Bacteria; Bacillati; Bacillota; Bacilli; Lactobacillales; Lactobacillaceae.
ACGCCGCGUGAGUGAAGAAGGGUUUCGGCUCGUAAAACUCUGUUGUUAAAGAAGAACAUAUCUGAGAGUAACUGUUCAGGUAUUGACGGUAUUUAACCAGAAAGCCACGGCUAACUACGUGCCAGCAGCCGCGGUAAUACGUAGGUGGCAAGCGUUGUCCGGAUUUAUUGGGCGUAAAGCGAGCGCAGGCGGUUUUUUAAGUCUGAUGUGAAAGCCUUCGGCUCAACCGAAGAAGUGCAUCGGAAACUGGGAAACUUGAGUGCAGAAGAGGACAGUGGAACUCCAUGUGUAGCG